CCUCAUGCUCCUGGAGCGGCCGAUAUCUGAUUAGCUAGUUGGUGAGGUAAAGGCUCACCAAGGCGACGAUCAGUAGCUGGUCUGAGAGGACGACCAGCCACACUGGAACUGACACGGUCCAGCUCCUACGGGAGGCAGCAGUGGGGAAUUUUGGACAAUGGGCGCAAGCCUGAUCCAGCAAUGCCGCGUGAGUGAAGAAGGCCUUCGGGUUGUAAAGCUCUUUUGUCAGGGAAGAAACGGGUGCGGCUAAUAUCUGCAUCUAAUGACGGUACCUGAAGAAUAAGCACCGGCUAACUACGUGCCAGCAGCCGCGGUAAUACGUAGGGUGCAAGCGUUAAUCGGAAUUACUGGGCGUAAAGCGUGCGCAGGCGGUUUUGUAAGUCUGUUGUGAAAUCCCCGGGCUCAACCUGGGAAUGGCAAUGGAGACUGCAAGGCUAGAGUUUGGCAGAGGGGGGUAGAAUUCCACGUGUAGCAGUGAAAUGCGUAGAGAUGUGGAGGAACACCGAUGGCGAAGGCAGCCCCCUGGGUCAAGACUGACGCUCAUGCACGAAAGCGUGGGGAGCAAACAGGAUUAGAUACCCUGGUAGUCCACGCCCUAAACGAUGUCUACUAGUUGUUGGGUCUUAAUUGACUUAGUAACGCAGCUAACGUGAAGUAGACCGCCUGGGAGACG
This 673-nucleotide ribosomal RNA is filed under the name uncultured bacterium. Its description in RNAcentral is "bacterial SSU rRNA". It matches the Rfam family "Bacterial small subunit ribosomal RNA", at positions 211 to 884 of the family's 1533-position model. The record is from RNAcentral.